Molecule: long non-coding RNA, 2474 nt
Organism: Cyprinus carpio (common carp)
Lineage: Eukaryota; Metazoa; Chordata; Actinopteri; Cypriniformes; Cyprinidae
Exons: 2
Source: RefSeq, a predicted model, not a curated record
CUGACUGAUUCAUCAUCAAAGAAAAAGUGUCAAAUAAAGUGACGUUGACAGCCGACAAAAGGGAGCACUAAUGCAAUCUAUUUUUGCUUAUAAGAAAACUGCCGUAUACGGCCCGCUGGAUCAUUUUAGACUCGGAUGAUCAAUUUUAAAAUACUUGAAAUGUAAGUCACGUAAAGAUUGCUUUCAGUUUAUGAUGUUAAUACUAUCUCUAACCAGGAGAGGUCGCUAGUUUCUAGCCGCUCCUUCAGUGUAGUUACACUAUUAUUAGCAAAUAAUAAAUGAAAAACUGACCAUGUAAACAGCAUUUUCCAGUCAAGAUGGUAAACAGAUUAUCUUUUCACCAAGUUCAAGGGGAUACUUAUAUGUUUGGAGUGUUUGGAAAUCUGUUAUUUAACUCGUCAUCACACCGCUACGCACAAACAACGGGGACGCCAGAGUUGCACUUGCCUCAAAUUUCAAAGAAUUUCCAAGACAAACUUGGCGACGAGUGACGGGAUUCCACAGCUGAUCGUCCGGGACCUGAGGACGUUAAUUGGCUGAUCACCCUAAACCCACAAAGGGUUUAGCUCUAAACCCCAAAAGGCUUCAGGGAAGGGGGUACUGACGUCUGAGGGCUUGUGGACCUUCACUGCUGGUUUCUCAACUGAUCAGAAAACGCGUGCUACAAACGGUGAGACUGAUUUUGAAAUUCCAAUAACCUUGAAAAUUUACAAAUUGGGGUUUUAAUUUGGCAAAUUAAGAUCUGGUAUUUCCAGACUUUACUGGCCUAAAACCUCCAUUGAUGCAAGUCCGAGCCAUCCCGUUUCACGAGUAAGUGAAUCCAGGUUUCGCAGGUGAGUGAAAAUAGGUCUGCGAGUAAGCAGGAACGUCUUGCAAGGAAGCAAGACAGGGGGGUGAUAAGGCAAGAUUUUGUGCGAGUAAGUGCGAAGCCACACAGUAUUGACGACUACGUGUGAGGCAAAGAGGACGCGUUCCAGGUAAAGUCUUGGAUUGGAAAAAUGGGGUCUGGGAAUGUCAAAUCUAAGAUAGAUCUUGAUGAUUUGGACAGUCCAAUUUACAAUGACAUGAAAAAGAAAAAAUGGGAAAAUAAUUAUGGAAGUCAUACCCUGGGUUUAGAAUCAUGGUUUUCCAAAAAAAAAAGAAAAGGUACAGUACCUAUAGCAUAACAGCCCUGAACAGAGUAAAAGAGAGCUUAGAAAAAUGUGAAAACAAAUUAAGAGAACAUAAAAAGCGGAAAAACAAACAAAAAAAAACAAGUUUGAGAAACAUAGGAAUUUUUAUUUUUAUUAAAUUACAGGCGUGAAACAACAGAACGCAGAGAAAUACAUUUCAAUGCUAUUUAGGAAUUAACUAAAAAUUAAAGUUCUGUAGCAUGUGAAGAUAAAAGAACAGAUCAUACUACUCAGAAUUCUUCUCUUUAUCCCCUUAGACAUUUGCAGUGUGCCAAAGUGGACUUUGAUCUGGACUCCUGGCUUCACCCCUAUCGACAAAUACCACAGCAGACUCAGAUUCAACCACCACUGCUGCCACCACCGCUGCCUCCAUCCUACAGCGCAACUGCAUCUGCGCCGCAGCCCUUGCCGCCGCAACAACUUCAACAGCAUCAUCAUCAUCAUCCAGACCAUCUGCUCUGCCACCAGCAACGGUGUAAGAGCAAUGAAAUGCUCAGUUACUGGAGUCAGUGCCAGAUCUAAAGCUCAUGAGAGAGUGACACUGCAGCCGGACAGCCUGAACAAGGAUGAACUGAAUGAAUGAGGAGAGCACAUCGGAGCUUUCCCCAUGAUUUAAGUGGCUGGGCUGAACAGAACUGUGAUGGUCUCUUGACCAUGGAACUAAAAUGACUUGAAAGAGGCUAUGACACACUUGCUUCACCCCAAAGACUCUAGAGAAAAUUUUGCAAAGGAUUUGUACAUGUUCUGUCAAGAAUUCAGCCCCACCAUGCAAGAACUGAAACAUUUGCUUAUGCUCAAAUUGGGGGCAACAGACUGGCACAAGAUAAGACCACAUUUUCCAACGGGCAAUGCCCAAAGGAAGAAUGCAGACUGGAAUCAUGCCGACAGCAAGGCAUAUCGUCAAGCAGUGGAAAUACUGUGUCAACGGAUCAAAACUGACUUUUCAGUCAGAGUGAACACAACCAAAAUCAUGCAGACGAGGCAGAGGACAAAGACGGUCUCAGAUUGAUCCAGAUGUUUGAUUUUACAGGUGGAGAGGGGACAUUGGAAUAUUUCACUGUCCACAUUUGAUCAAUCAAACUGCGGCUGGACCAGAGAAAGCUAAGGCAGACUGACAACAGAGACUUUCACAUCAGGAGCCGGAGAAGGAAGGGGGAGUCGGGAGCAAAGUCCACCAAGGCCAUGCAUCACAAGCAGAUAAGUCUGAAACACACACACACACACACACACACACACACACACACACACACACACACACACACACACACACACACACACACACACACACACAAACUCAGCUAA